RNAcentral lists this ribosomal RNA (2842 nucleotides) under Triticum aestivum (bread wheat). RNAcentral's name for it is "partial small subunit ribosomal RNA". The record is from RNAcentral. Lineage: Eukaryota; Viridiplantae; Streptophyta; Magnoliopsida; Poales; Poaceae.
AUUUACACUUUCACACAGCCACAUGUUGCUCUUGCCCGAUCCUCUUUCUCUCCGCUCACUCCCAGAUUGCUGCCACUGGAUAGCUCCCAUCAGCUUGCUGCAUUGAUUCGGUGCCCUGAGCUUGCUCGCCUCACUUGCAGCCAGCCCCGCCGCUCGAUUCGUUGGGGCGGCCAUAGGGUGACCUCCGACGGCGGCUGGUUUGUCUCGUAAACGGCGAUGGAGGGGGUAGCAGGGCCAAGGUGGAGCUGCGCAAGGGAGGAGGCGAGAUCGUCGAUCUGCAAGGUGAUGUUACUCUCGGCGUCGGUGCAGGUGAUGUGGGCGUGGAUUUUGUCUCCCGCAGCGAGCUUUGAUCCAUCUUUAGUAUGAUGAUGCUGGAGACGUUUUCUGACGCUAGAGCGCCAGCCAGACGCAUCCUCCACAUCUCCAACAUUCUUCGAAGUUCGACCAGCAGUAUUGUUUGCAGUGCAAGGUAAAUCGGUGGCUCUCUGAAUGGUGGCAAAACAACGUUUCCCUGUUGUCAGCAUAGUCCUAAAGAUGGCAUGCUUUUCGCUCUAUUGAAAGUUCUUUCUUCAAAAAUUCCACCCCGUCAUUCACACUUGUAUCUUGGUUUUUCGAAGCCCCAAGUUCCCAUACCAUUCCUUUCCAAUGCCUUGUCCAAGUUUCUGAAUUUGCCAUCAAUUUUAAUAUUAGUAAUGUCUCGUAUUGUUGAUACUGAAAAGACGAAAAAGUAUUUGGGGUUUGCUUCUUUCAUGUUUACUUUUUGUUACUUUUAGUAAUGUACACUUUUUGUUACUUUUAGUCAUGUACAUGUACAUAACAUAAAUGAGGUUCAUGAAUGUCCAGAUUUUAGAUGUUGAUUGUAUUUUAUUGUUGCUUACCUCAUAGUCUCACCAGUCUAGCUGAUUAGUGCUUCUUUUUUGUCGAUUGUUCUGCAACCCUCAUGCUUUGUAUUUCUCUUUUCUAUGUAGUCUUGCCUCUUUAGUUUUGUCUGUUGAGUUAAUUGCCCUCCAUAAACAUAAAUACCAAUUAGUAGAAGUAAGAUAUGGAAUUUCAUUCAUAAGCAAUUUAUUACUCGUGGUGGUGGUCAAUGUACAUGAUGAACAUUUUUACAGGACAUAGUUCCUUGUGGUAAUGGAACAUUUUUUCCCUCAGUAUUGGUUUAGACAGAGUGCAUGGGUAUGUUUUAUCAUGAUUUUCUUGAAAGCAUACUUCAUAGCUAUAGGUAGAACCAAAUGUAACAUGUUUUUUGUGAUUUAAUAGAGCAAUUUAAAUUAGCUGCACUUGAAGAUGUGGAAAUGCAUGGGCGACCGGACUUUAUAACCACUUGUUCAUGGUAAAAUGUGUGCGAUAUAAUUUUAGUACAUCAAAUCCAUUGAGUUAAUGAAGGAAUAUUUUUAUGGUCAAAAAAAUUGGAGGACAAAGAUAGAAGAAUUGAUGUGCAAAGCAUAAGCAAGGUACAUAAUUUGCUUCAUGUAUACUAUACUACCAGUUGUGCAUCAUUAGUGGUAAAAUUUAGAACCAAAUGGAUGAUGAUACACAUAAGGGUAAAACUUUGUGAAGAUUUUCUUACUUCACGUGGAUCAAAGGUUGUUCUUUUGGUGUAGCUGUGUAGUGUGGGACAUCCCUAUGCAUGAUUGAAAGCCGUCUAUUUUUCUUGUCUCGCAGUUUCAUUCUCCUCCUCUUGUGCCUCAUUAGAAUUGUUGCCUUUUUAGUUGUAACAUUCUUGAGAUACCACAUAUAAAAGUUUCACGAUUAGUGAUGGAUCACCUUGUUGGAUUGCAUAUUGGAUUUGUUUUAACCACCUUGGCAGGUUUUCUCAAAUUCCUUGCUAUAUGGCCCACCUUUUCUAUUUUCAUUGAUUAUUCCUACACAAUAGAGAAUGCAAAUAUAAAGUUAAACAGGAUUACAUCAUAAUAUUAUUAUAGAUUGUCGCAAACCUAGAAUUUAUGCUUUUUUAGGGCGACGGACGACUAUGAAGCUCAAUGGCGAUGUGCCCACUGGUCUUUGGACAGGGGAGUACCUUGCUCCGCUGCUUGAGACCUGGGCAAGCUGGCCCUGCUUGUCCCAAUGAAAUCUUUAAUGAUAAAGAUGAUCUUAAGCACCAAUCAUCACGUGAAGGCACAAAUAUUGAGUAUUUCUUAGUAGCAGCUGGACAAAGCCAUCUCUACCUGAUUAAUGAGUGCCAUUUGCUUCUUAAUGGACUUAAGACCUAUGGAAGCUAUUCCACAACCCCAAAUUAUAGUUGAGGAGCCCGCUAUAAUUCUGUGAGAUGGUAGUUACUGGAGGCGGUUUGAUCUCUCGACGGAGUUGACUACAACCGAGGAUAACCAACAGGAGAUUUAGGGGUUGGUGACUGAUGCAGGAAGACGAUGCUGAAGUGCCACUUGUUGGAGGAAGUUGACGUCGAAGUGUUAUUUGCCGGAGGAAGAUGAUGUACCAGCGGUACUCUAAAAUCUAGAGGACAAUGACGUUUUGGGGUGGUCGAAGCAUUGCCUGGUGAAGAUAUUUCAGGGAUAGCUGAGUUGAUCACGUUUGCACGAUGGAAGGAGAGGCUAUUUGGAUGCUGAGAGACUUUAUCUAUGUAUAAGCGAACAUCAGAUUUUGGUUCUAUUUGGAGAGAUAGUAUCUCUAUACACUAUUGAGAGAGUUUGGUUAUGUUCUGAGAGACUUUAUCUAUGUAUAAGCGAACGUCAGGUUUUGGUUCUAUUUGGAGAGAUAGUAUCUCUAUACACUAUUGAGAGAGUUUGGUUAUGUCUUGAGAAAUUGUAUCUUUGUACAGGAUUGUGAGAGGCCAAGAGUUAUUUGCAAAAAAAGAAGAAGCGUGAGAGUUUGGUCAUUGUAC